RNAcentral lists this ribosomal RNA (396 nucleotides) under uncultured Oscillospiraceae bacterium. Its description in RNAcentral is "bacterial SSU rRNA". It matches the Rfam family "Bacterial small subunit ribosomal RNA", at positions 355 to 768 of the family's 1533-position model. Lineage: Bacteria; Bacillati; Bacillota; Clostridia; Eubacteriales; Oscillospiraceae. The record is from RNAcentral.
UGGGGGAUAUUGCACAAUGGGCGAAAGCCUGAUGCAGCGACGCCGCGUGAGGGAAGACGGUUUUCGGAUUGUAAACCUCUGUCUUCGGGGACGAAAAUGACGGUACCCGAGGAGGAAGCCACGGCUAACUACGUGCCAGCAGCCGCGGUAAUACGUAGGUGGCAAGCGUUGUCCGGAUUUACUGGGUGUAAAGGGCGUGUAGGCGGAGAAGCAAGUCAGAAGUGAAAUCCAUGGGCUUAACCCAUGAACUGCUUUUGAAACUGUUUCCCUUGAGUAUCGGAGAGGCAGGCGGAAUUCCUAGUGUAGCGGUGAAAUGCGUAGAUAUUAGGAGGAACACCAGUGGCGAAGGCGGCCUGCUGGACGACAACUGACGCUGAGGCGCGAAAGCGUGGGGAG